GAAGCUGGAAUUGCUGUAAUGGCAGGUCAGCAUACUGCCGUGAAUACGUUCCCGGGCCCUUGUACACACCGCCCGUCACACCAUGAGAGUUGGAAAUACCCGAAGCCUGUGAGCUAACAGUAAUGAGGCAGCAGUCGAAGGUAGAGCCAAUGAUUGGGGUGAAGUCGUAACAAGGUAAC
This 179-nucleotide ribosomal RNA is filed under the name uncultured bacterium. Its description in RNAcentral is "partial 16S ribosomal RNA". It matches the Rfam family "Bacterial small subunit ribosomal RNA", at positions 1322 to 1500 of the family's 1533-position model. The record is from RNAcentral.